RNAcentral lists this long non-coding RNA (305 nucleotides) under Papio anubis (olive baboon). RNAcentral describes it as "lncRNA (ENSPANG00000046559.1)". The record is from RNAcentral. Lineage: Eukaryota; Metazoa; Chordata; Mammalia; Primates; Cercopithecidae.
AUGACGCCGACAGGACAGAUGGAGGCUCUCAGACUCAGAGAGAUGAAGAGACUUUCCCACAAAACUACUAAGUGCCAGAUCCAGAAUUUGUAUCCAUUGUCGAACCCCAAAGUCCAGGUUCCUUCCACGAUCCAGAGCUCUCUCAACAGAAGCACCUUCAGCUCAGGCUUUCACUGGGCCAUAAUGGGCUACUAUAGUUCUCCGAUGGGGGUUUUGAACACAUUACCAGCUUUUUGAAAUUAAACAUUAUCUCCAACAUUUUAUUCUUUCUUUCCUUCACUCAUUCACUUAUUCACUAAUCAAAC